Molecule: ribosomal RNA, 254 nt
Filed under: uncultured bacterium
Lineage: Bacteria
Description: partial 16S ribosomal RNA
Rfam family: Bacterial small subunit ribosomal RNA
Source: RNAcentral
GUACGGGGGAGCAAGCGUUGUUCGGAUUUACUGGGCGUAAAGGGCGCGUAGGCGGUCGUGACAAGUCACUUGUGAAAUCUCUGGGCUUAACCCAGAACGGCCAAGUGAAACUGUUGUGCUAGAGUGCAGAAGGGGCAAUCGGAAUUCUCGGUGUAGCGGUGAAAUGCGUAGAUAUCGAGAGGAACACCAAUUGCGAAGGCAGCUCGCUGGGACGUCACUGACGCUGAGACGCGAAAGCGUGGGGAGCAAACAGG